AAUAGAUACCCUGGUAGUCCACGCCGUAAACGAUGAGUGCUAAGUGUUAGGGGGUUUCCGCCCCUUAGUGCUGCAGCUAACGCAUUAAGCACUCCGCCUGGGGGGGUACGGCCGCAAGGCUGAAACUCAAAGGAAUUGACGGGGGCCCGCACAAGCGGUGGAGCAUGUGGUUUAAUUCGAAGCAACGCGAAGAACCUUACCAGGUCUUGACAUCUCCUGACCGCCCUGGAGACAGGGUCUUCCCUUCGGGGACAGGAUGACAGGUGGUGCAUGGUUGUCGUCAGCUCGUGUCGUGAGAUGUUGGGUUAAGUCCCGCAACGAGCGCAACCCUUGUCCUUAGUUGCCAGCAUUCAGUUGGGCACUCUAAGGAGACUGCCGGCUAAAAGUCGGAGGAAGGUGGGGAUGACGUCAAAUCAUCAUGCCCCUUAUGACCUGAGCUACACACGUGCUACAAUGGGCGGUACAGAGGGUCGCGAACCCGCGAGGGGGAGCCAAUCCCAAAAAGCCGCUCUCAGUUCGGAUUGCAGGCUGCAACUCG
Molecule: ribosomal RNA, 538 nt
Filed under: uncultured bacterium
Lineage: Bacteria
Description: bacterial SSU rRNA
Rfam family: Bacterial small subunit ribosomal RNA
Source: RNAcentral